Molecule: ribosomal RNA, 459 nt
Filed under: uncultured bacterium
Lineage: Bacteria
Description: partial 16S ribosomal RNA
Rfam family: Bacterial small subunit ribosomal RNA
Source: RNAcentral
GAUGAACGCUGGCGGCGCGCCUAACACAUGCAAGUCGAACGGCACCCCUCCUCGGAGGGAAGCGAGUGGCGAACGGCUGAGUAACACGUGGAGAACCUGCCCCCUCCCCCGGGAUAGCCGCCCGAAAGGGCGGGUAAUACCGGAUACCCCGGGGUGCCGCAUGGCACCCCGGCUAAAGCCCCGACGGGAGGGGAUGGCUCCGCGGCCCAUCAGGUAGACGGCGGGGUGACGGCCCACCGUGCCGACAACGGGUAGCCGGGUUGAGAGACCGACCGGCCAGAUUGGGACUGAGACACGGCCCAGACUCCUACGGGAGGCAGCAGUGGGGAAUCUUGCGCAAUGGGGGGAACCCUGACGCAGCGACGCCGCGUGCGGGACGGAGGCCUUCGGGUCGUAAACCGCUUUCAGCAGGGAAGAGUCAAGACUGUACCUGCAGAAGAAGCCCCGGCUAACUACGUG